RNAcentral lists this ribosomal RNA (501 nucleotides) under uncultured bacterium. RNAcentral describes it as "partial 16S ribosomal RNA". It matches the Rfam family "Bacterial small subunit ribosomal RNA", at positions 30 to 523 of the family's 1533-position model. The record is from RNAcentral.
AUUGAACGCUGGCGGCAGGCUUAACACAUGCAAGUCGAGCGGGGGAAGGUAGCUUGCUACUGGACCUAGCGGCGGACGGGUGAGUAAUGCUUAGGAAUCUGCCUAUUAGUGGGGGACAACAUCUCGAAAGGGAUGCUAAUACCGCAUACGUCCUACGGGAGAAAGCAGGGGAUCUUCGGACCUUGCGCUAUUAGAUGAGCUUAAGUCGGAGUAGCUCGUUGGUGGGGUAAAGGCCUACCAAGGCGACGAUCUGUAGCGGGUCUGAGAGGGUGGUCCGCCACACUGGGACUGGGACACGGCCCAGACUCCUACGGGAGGCAGCAGUGGGGAAUAUUGGACAAUGGGGGGAAACCUGAUCCAGCCAUGCCGCGUGUGUGAAGAAGGCCUUAUGGUUGUAGAGCACUUUAAGCGAGGAGGAGGCUACUCUAGUUAAUACCUAGGGAUAGUGGACGUUACUCGCAGAAUAAGCACCGGCUAACUCUGUGCCAGCAGCCGCCGUAA